Molecule: ribosomal RNA, 460 nt
Filed under: uncultured bacterium
Lineage: Bacteria
Description: partial 16S ribosomal RNA
Rfam family: Bacterial small subunit ribosomal RNA
Source: RNAcentral
CCUACGGGGGGCAGCAGUGAGGAAUAUUGGUCAAUGGGCUUACGCCUGAACCAGCCAAGUCGCGUGAGGGAAGACUGCCCUAUGGGUUGUAAACCUCUUUUGUCAGGGAGCAACGCCGGCUACGUGUAGCCGGACUGAGAGUACCUGAAGAAAAAGCAUCGGCUAACACCGUGCCAGCAGCCGCGGUAAUACGGGGGAUGCGAGCGUUAUCCGGAUUUGUUGGGUUUAAAGGGUGCGUAGGCGGAAUGCCAAGUCAGCGGUAAAAUCGCGGGGCUCAACCUCGCUCCGCCGUUGAAACUGGCGUGCUGGAGUGGGCGAGAAGUAUGCGGAAUGCGUGGUGUAGCGGUGAAAUGCAUAGAUAUCACGCAGAACUCCGAUGGCGAAGGCAGCAUACCGGCGCCCAACUGACGCUGAAGCACGAAAGCGUGGGGAUCGAACAGGAUUAGAUACCCUGGUUGUC